This 497-nucleotide ribosomal RNA is filed under the name uncultured bacterium. RNAcentral's name for it is "partial 16S ribosomal RNA". It matches the Rfam family "Bacterial small subunit ribosomal RNA", at positions 28 to 507 of the family's 1533-position model. The record is from RNAcentral.
GAUGAACGCUGGCGGCAUGCCUAAUACAUGCAAGUCGAGCGGACACACGAGGAGCUUGCUCCUCUGCCGUUGGCGGCGGACGGGUGAGUAACAAAUGGAUAACCUACCUAUAAGACUGGGAUAACUUCGGGAACCCGGAGCUACUUAAGGCUAAUAUAUUGAACCGCAGGGUUCCAUACUACAAGACGGUUUUGCUGUCACUUGUAGAUGGAUCCGGGCCGCUUAAGAUAGUUGGUAAGGUAACGGCAUACCAAGGCGACGAUGCGUAGCCGACCGGUGAGGGGGAGCGGCUACACGGGAACGGAGACGCGGCACAGACUCCUACGCGAGGCAGCAGAAGGGAAUGGACUGCAAGGGGCGGAAGGCGGACGGAACAACGCCGCGUGGGGGGUAAAGGGCCUCGGAUCGUAAAACUCAGUUAUUUGGGAGGAACAAAUGUGUAAGGAACUAGGCACUUAUUGACGGUACCUAAUGAGAAAGCCACGGCUAACUACGUG